Long non-coding RNA from Lutra lutra (Eurasian river otter), 696 nucleotides. RefSeq lists it as uncharacterized. The record is from RefSeq and is a predicted model, not a curated record. The transcript is spliced from 5 exons. NCBI's taxonomy places the organism in Eukaryota, Metazoa, Chordata, Mammalia, Carnivora, Mustelidae.
UGUUUUCCGGAUUCCCGGAAGAACUCGCCCAUAAAAGCGAAGUCCUUGUGAAAUACACUCCUCGAGAUGUGACGAUCGGUUUAAUCUUUCCGACUUUCACUGGCGAGUCUGUAGUAUGUCCGCUUCUUGAGUCUGUUCAUCGGCUUCAUUAACACGGAUAACACCUAGACCGCGGCAGUACUGUGGUGGCCCGUGGCCAGAACCUGAUGACCUUCCUCCUGAUGAACUGACACUACCUCAGUGCCCACCCCGCGCAUCUUGCCACGCAGGAGUUCUCCCAUCUCCCAAGAUCCCAGGAAGAACACUACCUACCAGGUGAUAUCUAGAUGAACUGAAAAUAUAGCAGAAAGUACAAUUUGUGGAAGACACAGGUGACAAAGUUUGUUGGCUAAGAAGAACUCACAAAGAACAGGGACGGAAAUGAAGGAAAAGGAGAGGUGGUGGAGGGCAAAGGAAGAGAAUUUCUGUGUAGGAAAUAGUCACACAUCAUCCAAAGCUGAGUUCCAUCAGUUUUUGCUUCACAUAUUUUGCAGCUCUGUUGUUUGGUACCUAGACAAUUAGGUUUGCUGUGACUUCUUGGCGGAUUGACAUGUGAUAUUCCUCUCUGUCCCUCAUAAUUUUCCUUGCUGACAUCCAUUUUGUCUAGUAUUGAUAUAACCAUACCUGUUUACUUUUAAUUAAUGCUUGCAUAGUAUA